Long non-coding RNA from Bradysia coprophila, 160 nucleotides. The record is from RefSeq and is a predicted model, not a curated record. Lineage: Eukaryota; Metazoa; Arthropoda; Insecta; Diptera; Sciaridae.
UGGCCUUUUUCACAAAGUAUAAUCAGCGUAACCUUCCUAUCGAAAUAUCUUGAAAUUGUCAACAAUGUGUGGCAACGUAUAAAAAACAAAAUUCAAAACCCACCAGAAACCGGUGGCGAUCCACUUGUCAACGGAAAAUACAUAAACAAAUUCCUUAAUC